UAGGGAAUAUUGGACAAUGGGCGAAAGCCUGAUCCAGCCAUGCCGCGUGAUAGAUGAAGGCCCUCUGGGUUGUAAAUAUCUUUUAUCUGGGAAGAAACUCCUCUAUUCUUAGAGGCCUGACGGUACCAGAGGAAUAAGCACCGGCUAACUCCGUGCCAGCAGCCGCGGUAAUACGGAGGGUGCAAGCGUUAUCCGGAUUCACUGGGUUUAAAGGGUGCGUAGGCGGGUUGAUAAGUCAGUGGUGAAAGCU
RNAcentral lists this ribosomal RNA (250 nucleotides) under uncultured bacterium. RNAcentral's name for it is "partial 16S ribosomal RNA". It matches the Rfam family "Bacterial small subunit ribosomal RNA", at positions 355 to 602 of the family's 1533-position model. The record is from RNAcentral.